Molecule: ribosomal RNA, 217 nt
Filed under: uncultured bacterium
Lineage: Bacteria
Description: partial 16S ribosomal RNA
Rfam family: Bacterial small subunit ribosomal RNA
Source: RNAcentral
ACGCUCGACACCUACGGAGGCAGCAGUGAGGAAUAUUGGUCAAUGGGCGCUAGCCUGAACCAGCCAAGUAGCGUGAAGGAUGAGGGCUCUAUGGGUCGUAAACUUCUUUUAUAUAAGAAUAAAGUGCAGUAUGUAUACUGUUUUGUAUGUAUUAUAUGAAUAAGGAUCGGCUAACUCCGUGUCAGCAGCCGCGGUAAUCUGAGCGGGCUGGCAAGGC